Molecule: ribosomal RNA, 449 nt
Filed under: uncultured bacterium
Lineage: Bacteria
Description: bacterial SSU rRNA
Rfam family: Bacterial small subunit ribosomal RNA
Source: RNAcentral
GGACCAGACUCCUACGGGAGGCAGCAGUGGGGAAUAUUGCACAAUGGGGGAAACCCUGAUGCAGCGACGCCGCGUGAGUGAAGAAGUAAUUCGUUAUGUAAAGCUCUAUCAGCAGGGAAGAAAAUGACGGUACCUGAAGAAGAAGCCCCGGCUAACUACGUGCCAGCAGCCGCGGUAAUACGUAGGGGGCAAGCGUUAUCCGGAUUUACUGGGUGUAAAGGGGGCGCAGACGGCGAUGCAAGCCAGGAGUGAAAGCCCGGGGCCCAACCCCGGGACUGCUCUUGGAACUGCGUGGCUGGAGUGCAGGAGUGGCAGGCGGAAUUCCUGGUGUAGCGGUGAAAUGCGUAGAUAUCAGGAGGAACACCGGUGGCGAAGGCGGCCUGCUGGACUGCAACUGACGUUGAGGCCCGAAAGCGUGGGGAGCAAACAGGAUUAGAUACCCUCGUACC